Molecule: microRNA precursor, 82 nt
Filed under: Vicugna pacos (alpaca)
Lineage: Eukaryota; Metazoa; Chordata; Mammalia; Artiodactyla; Camelidae
Description: miRNA (ENSVPAG00000017988.1)
Source: RNAcentral
UUAAAAUGCAGAUUUCCUGACACCACCCAAGAGCUGCUCAUUUGGAAUGUCUGAGGGGGUGGUGCCCAGGAAUCUGCAUUUU